This is a long non-coding RNA of Apis cerana (Asiatic honeybee), 7995 nucleotides long. RefSeq lists it as uncharacterized. The record is from RefSeq and is a predicted model, not a curated record. Lineage: Eukaryota; Metazoa; Arthropoda; Insecta; Hymenoptera; Apidae.
AUCGAUACACCCUACACUUAUGCAUUUUCAAUUCUAUUAAUUCUUUAUUCUUCCCAAUUUAUAUAUAUAUAUAGUAUAAAGCAGUUGAAACGAAGAAAUAUUAAUUCAAGUUGCACACUGUUCCAGCUCCAUCGACUGUUGGAAACGCGUGGAAGAAGGACCUAAGAACAGGCAGCAUCCAAAAAGAUCGACGUUCUCCGAGAAUCGUUGGGAGCGGUUAUAUAAGACGAUUACGCAUGCCUUGCUCGCGAUAUCCAACGUUCGUACGGAAGCGUGCGCAUGCGCACGUACGCGCGUGAUAUUUAUUGGGUACCACCGCGUUGCUAUCCCUUGGCUCCCCAACGUAACGUACGGUACCGGUCGGUUGAUAUCGAUUCCGCGCGGGGAGAUAACGAUCGUUCCGUUCCUUUUCGGAUCCCGCUCUCCGGAAACUGUGGGCUGGGUGGUAGUAGGCAGGAUGGUUAUUACUUACUGCCAAGCCGUUGCUCUUGUACGCCCAAGACUUAUGGGACACCGAGUCUAUUCGCCGGGUGUAUAUACACUUGCCAUUAACGCGGCUUACUUAACCGAGUUGGAGCGAAGGUAGGGAAUUUUCUUUUCUCUCUCGUGCUGAAAAUACGGCGGAUUGUCAUUAUUCGUCGGCUGUCGUUCGAUUCCGCGGUUCGAUAUCGUAAUCGUGGGAAGGGAAUAGUUUAGGUAGUUGGAUAAGUGGCUUCUAAUUUUCGUCGGAGAGAAUGGUAUCCGAAGGGGGGAUCACGUCGAGUGCUUCCUUUCGAAAGAAGAUUCGUAUCGGCCGUUUCUCUCGAAGCUCCACCGCGGUCGGUGGUGGUGGCGGUUAUUAGAGGCACAGGUUUAAAGAGGAAACUGGAGGAAUUCCGUGCACUCCCGUGUUGGGAGAGCGUGUCUCGCGCGGACCCACUGUUCUGUCGCUCGCUUCGAAUCCGGCCAACGCCCGUUUCGCAUGCCGACGCUCUCUUCCUCCUCUCUCUCUCCCCUUUUUCCCCCAAGCAGAGGAUUUCUUAGGGAAAUGGCCGCGUAGCUGCCCUAAAUGGCAGCGAGUCGUUAACGCGGUGUCUCCGCGCUUUUCUCCCCUUGACAGUUGCCCGCCAUUGUUGGCGCCUACUUGCCAGCUUCCAUUCCAGUGCCUCCUCCACCUAUCACGAGUCUCACCCUCGCCUUAAUAAGGCGUCUCAGAUCUCGAGCUUACGGAUCUCUCUCUCUCUCUCAAACAGAUCUUUCUCUCUAAGAGAUAUCGCGUGAUCGAAUUGAUAAAUUGGCGGAGAGAUUCUCCUUCUCGGAUCUUGGUUGGUACUUGGAUUCUUGAAUAUAAUCAAAUCGUUUCCCUCCCUCGUUAAAAAAGAGUCGGGAGAGAGAAAUUUAUUAUUGAAAAUUCCUCCCCUCCUCUUCCUUUGCCUCGGUUUUUACCGACCGAUAUAAAAAUCCUUGGAGAGAAGGUACAACCCCGUUAACAAUCGAGGAUCUUUACGACUUCCCUUUUUUUCCAGGCUGGUAAAGGAGUUUGAUUCACGCACACAUGCACGGCAGUGGACACGGUACGUAGCACACUUUGAUAUCGCGUUGCGUCGGUGUGACACAAAUUUUUCGAAGAGAUUCGUCUCUCCCUCCGGGGGGAUCAAAUUGGUGGUAUACGUACGAAAGUAAAUUUAGGAUCCGCCUGGGUGGUUCCAAUUUAAUCAAUCCCGGCAAACCUCUCCCCGACCAAACGCGUAUGUCGUUGUGCGUUGAUUUCAAUUUCAAUGAAAGACAUCGGGCAUAAAUUCUUCCCGUCCCGGAUGGAGCAAGCGGCUGCUCAUCCAUAUUAACCUUAACGAAACGUCUCUUCCGGGUGUGGUCCCGGGAAUGAAAUCCAAACGGAUUUUUUGCCCGAUCCGGGCUGAACUCGAGAAGGAAUCCGUUCUUGGCCGUUCUCGUGGUUUAAUCUCAAUCUUUUCCCUUUUUUAAAGGGAACUUUUUCCCUUCUUUUUAGCAAAGAAUCGCGACAAAGAUUGGGAUACGUUUUCACCAGCGAUCGAUCUUGCUGCGGCGAUAGAUUCGAUGGAAAAGUCGAAGAGAGGGAAAACGUAACAAUCUCCUCCAGUUUCGUGGAUUAAAACCUGUUCCAAAUCGUUUCGAACCUGUUAAAUAUCGAAAACAUUGUCGAGACGGACACUCGGUUCCCCGAGCGAACGGUAUUUGAUCAAUCCCGCGGAGAGGUCGAGGAUUCGAUCGAGGAGUCUUGCUGCCGGAGUUUCGAAGAGGUAACUCGAAGCGAGGCCUCCUUUCUCGACGGAAGGACGAAACGAUAAUCGCGGGAACAGUUCGGAGGCACCGGUUUAAUGCGCGCUCCGCCGAUCUUUAGAGCCUUUAAUAAGGGGUUUUCGUAAAUAACGAGGCCUGCCCCGAGUAAACGUGUCUAUUUGCGCGAUUCGACGCCACGAAGCCUCUCGCCGAUUCCCCGUAUAAUCCACAAAAGCCACAGGAAGUUGUAAAUUAAUUUUCGAAAUUGAUCGUGAACAUUGUAACAUCGUUUCUACGAUAUAUACUUUACCCGGAUACUUUUCUUCCUUCUCUUCUCUCCUUUACGCUGUUAACGACGAAUCAAUUUUUUACCCUCUCCAUAGUCGAUAUAAUUUUUAUCUCCCGAAGCGACCGGUUUCCCGCGAUAAAACAAUCGCGAUCGGUUAAAAGGCAUAUACGGCCGUACAGAGAUGGACGCGAUAAAAGUUUAUUAGUUUGUUCAGCGUCGAUUGUUCCAUCGUUGAGGAGGAAAUUUCGAAAUGGAACCAGAUAGAGAAGAACGAAUCCACCUGCUCGAACGCAUUACGAUUCGAAUUCGGAGUUUCGAUCUCUCAGGUUUGUGGGGCGCGUGGGCGAGGAUCCCCGCGGUUCGCCGCGGCGCGUCGACCCCUCGCUUCCAAGAAGUGGAAACGUCCGCUCGUAUCUCACGCAGGUGGAGGGGGAGAUUUCGUGCAUUUCGGCCCUCUCUACGAAUAAUGUAUACCCUCGUUGGUCAUCGGCCAGCCCCACGACCCCUGGGGUACAGGCGAUACCGCGAUUAGUAAUCGCGUGUUGCCGCUCUCCUCCUUCGUGCCUACCCUCUCCCUCCUUCCUUCCUUCCUUCUGUCGCGCCAAUAUAUAUAUAUGUGGCCUGCCCUCCUCUGACAAAUUGCGCCAAAAUGCCCGAUGCUAAAUUUCCAUUACUCCACCCGCGCGUACACGGCUCGUGUUCUCCAGAUUUGGCGAUUCUCGUCAAAUUUUACCUUUUUAAUUCUUCUAGAUUCUCCGUUAAAGGGAGAAAGAAGGGGAUGGAUUAGUUUACGAAGUAAUUUGGAAUGCAUUCCUAAAAAUGUGGACGUCUCGAAUUCUUUAACCCUCCCGUUAAGAUGGGAUCGCGAUACAACAAUUUGUUUUCGUAUUACACGUUUCCUCGAAUCUGGUCCGAAUAUUUUUAAUAGUCGUCCGGAGUUUGGAAUUAUUUAAAAUACUGGAGGAGUCUGUAGCUGGGGUCUUCGUAAUUCGUUUAAUUAACGACGCGAUGUUUUCCAUCAUCGAUGGUGAUAAGCCACGAGUACCGUUAACGACCUCUCUCGGACGCCGUUCUCGGAAAUUUUUACGAACGAGGAAUCGUUCCUUCGAUAAUCAACAAUUUCUUUUACCCAAUUUUUCCAAGGGACGAUACGAGCGAUGGACAUAGGAGCGCGAUAUGAUCGUUGGAAGAAUGCUAGAAUGCUGUCUCGAGUGGGACAGGCGCACUCGAGAGCGUCCUCGGAGAGCUAUAAAUCGCGGCGUGGGGGUAAGCCACACAGGUCGUGGGCAACAGUAGGCAGGGUAAUUGGCGAAAUGUGGUAAUCCCUAAUUACAGCAGAUACCUACAGCGCCUAAUUCCGUAACGUAUUACGCCGAAUCUCGGCGCGCAGGUGGCCGGAAAUUAACGGCGUAUCCGCGUAAUUGCCCCUCCAAAAACUGCACUUACGAGGGACCCCCGUAAAUUCUUUUCUCCCGCCUUUCUCACCAUCGACACGCUCUUACGAUUAAUCCGCGAAUGAAAUUAUUAAUCCCCCCAGUAAUACUCAUUUCUCAUCCCUGGAGGAGAGAAGAUCCACCCUAUCUCCUAUAUUUCUUUAUCUAUCCUUGCCUCGAGUUGUUAUCUUCUAAUUCCUCGAUUUAAACGGGAAAAGAAGAUAUUAAAAGGAAGAAAAGCGCCAGAGAUAAUUUCCCUGUCGACCACCUGUCCCGGUCUCCUUUGAACGAUAGAGAGCAAGAUUCGACGGCUCGUUGAUUUAUGCGACCGCUCCUGCCACGGCAAGUUGGAAUCGACGCACCACCACCCCGCCCGUUAUGUAUUCCGUAUAAAUUGAAAACCGCAAUAAAUCGGUUUACAGGAGCGGAUAAAGGAGCUCGUAAACGGGGAUAAAAUACACGGACGUCAGUGGUCUGUUUAACAAAUCCGACCGGCGACCGGGCGACAAGCGACGUCGUUACGAUGAACAUCGAUAUAGUCCGUGUUUCUCCAAUUUUACGUUCGCUAUUUACGGGAGGGAGCACGGGAAGAGAGAGAGAGAGAGAAAGAUUCUCUAACUGGCCCACGCAGGACCCUUCCCUCCAAUAAUAAAGAUGUCUCUACACGAUUUUAUACGACUCUAUCCACGCACACGGAUUUUACGAUCACGUUUACCUGUCAUCGUCGCGCCAUCGUCUCGUCUCGUACACGGAUCGCACCCGGCUUUAACACCUCGUAAAAUUAUGACCGAUCGCGAGCCUAAUGGUGGCAGGAUACCGCGAGUUACGAGAUACACAAUUGCGAAUCGUCGUAACAACGGCGUCCUUUGAUCCAAUACGGAAUAUUGCGCCGCGUGGGAAUUCCUUUACCGCCUUGCGAAACACGAAUUGUAAUAAACGCGAAUUCGGAAUUCGAUGGAGCACGUAACGUAUAUGAUAUAUAUAUGUACGUUUUAAUGGGCGAUGUUCUGUACUUUCCAAUGGUUUAUCUGGAGCCGUUGUACGCGCUACUACUAUCGUUACGCGGGGAAAGGUGUCGAUUAAAAAAAGGGGAUCCAUCAAAACAGGAUUGGAAGCCACCGGCGACGCCUGUCCGCCGAUUCCUCUCUUUGGACGCGAGCGUUAGCACGCGGCCGGUAAAUGCCGGGGAUCGAAAUGGCGGGCGAGAAACAUCGUACGAGAUAAGCUCACGUAGGUGAGAAAAAGACCCGUCCGAUAAGUGGCUGUCCUCCAGAGACAGAGAGGGAGAGAGAGAGAGAGAGAAUGAGAAGGGAGGAAGAGAAGCCUUCCAUUCCAGCCGGAUGGUAUAAAUCAGCGCUACGUUAAGUGGUUCUCGUAUUAAUUAAGAUAGCCACGUCGCGUACCACGCGACAAUUCGUGAUCCUUGGGACGAGCGGCCAAAGAGAACGAAAAGGAGGAGAAGAAGAAGAAGAAGAAGAAGAAGAAGGCUCACUUGAGCUCUUCCCGUAAAUCGAAACUGAACGAGGUUAGAGAGGACGUCUUCUCCUUUCAUCCGUCACAAUUAUGGAAAUUACAACCUAGCCCUCGGUUUCGCACUUGUGCGUUUUCCGUCCACGAUAAAUCACGUAAAUGCGAAAUACUUAAUACUGGCCAGUCCACAGGAACACCCUUUGUCUCUGGGGAUAAUAAGUUGAAACGGUGUUGCGGUGCAUCGAACCCCGGCAGCCGCUUAUAAUUUUCGUUCCACACCGCCAACAGCGCCAACCACUCUGCCGCUAUCGCUGCCUCCUUGGCCAGCCGGGGUCAUUACCGCGCGUAGGAAUACCUAUCCCUUAUUAUCUUUUCUUUAUCUGCCCGCUCACGUAUCAAUUUACUUAUCCGCGAAUCACUUUAUCGGCCGAUCUAUCACUGCAGGCUCCUGCGACGCGGCGGCGGCGGCCAACUAUGUAAUAGGAAAAGUAACCGCCGCGUGUGCCGCGUGUAAUUCAGCUGCAACCGCGAAAAGUCACGCACCACUGCCGCGGCAAUUUUUUCCAGAGAGACGUCGGGACGAGGAUCCGAUGGAUGCGCGAAAUUGCUACGCCAAGCGUGGAAUAUUUCUGUUACAUGUGUUUACGACGUUUCGAUCGAUGAUGAAUAAAAGUUUGACAAAAUUCGAUCGAUCGAAAGAUGAAUCUAGAUACGUCGUUCGGAUGGAUCGAGAUAUUUAAGAUCUUAAGUAAGAGAUUAUUCUGAAAGAAUAACGUAACAUCGUUUAAAUUCUGUUAUAAAGUUUGGAAACGUUUCGUUUCGAGAAUAAUAAUCUACGCACAGAAAGGAAUAAUUUUUAAUUCUAUUUAAUUGGACUGUUUCGAUUUCGUUGACAUAAUGGGGUCGGUUAGAACAAAUCACCCAUCUAUAUAACAUAAUUUAUUUCUAUUCCUUAAUAAAUUUAGAAGAAAAUUCUGAGAAACAUAUUUUAAAAUCGAGAUCGUCGAGAAUGGAUAUUCUUACGAAACAAUGUCCAACAGUGCAAUGUCUAAAUUACCGUCGGAAUAUCCUGUCACAGACAACAACGCGAAUGAAGAAAUCUCCGCCUUCUUCUCAGCCGGCCGCGUGAGAACGUCGUCGUCUCCUCGACACGUGCGAUCGUAGGCAGCAACAGCAGCAGCUCGUCGUCAUCGUCGUCCUGCCGCCGUCGCGAGCCCCGAGUGAGGCGUGAGGUCGUUGCGGAACAUGCAUACGAACGACAACGAUUCCUCAACGCUUGUCGCGUCCCCCGUGACAGCUGGACCGUUGGGGGAGGGGGGAGGUAAAAGCGCGUUUUCCAUCGAGCGAACCGCAACCGAGACGAGGAAAAGGAAAGGGCACGAAUGCGAAACGGUGGCCGAGCCGUAUGCGCGCGACGCUUCGCAAAUUGUAUUACCGCCGUCGGUGUAUAAAGAUACACCGCAAACGCGAUUGUCCUCGGCUCGUGGUGUAGCAGUGGGAGCGAAACGUGCGAUGGCGAAACGAGUGAAGCGCGUUAAACGCACAGAGAGAGAGAGAGAGAGAAAGAGAGAGUUAUAUAUAUAGACUAUACAUAUAUAACCGCACGUGUAGGCGAGUCUGUACUUUUUUUUUAUUAUCUCCUCGCGUAUAAUAGGAGAAAAUUAUUUGAGCUUGUAUGGAUAGUUUAAUUUUCUUUUAUUGUGAUAUAUAUUAUUUGUAACUUUGAAAUGAAAUAUCGAUAUACACUUAAAAAUGAAAAGAACAAAAUUACUAAGAUGAUAAUUUAAUAAAAUAAGAAUAAAAAUAAGAAUUAAAGAAAUAUUGUAAGAAAAUAUACGAACCGAACAAAGAUCAAACGAACAAUGAAGAUAGCUUAAAAUCAAUCCAUGAAUAUUACAAACAAUUCGAAAUAACACAAGCGUCGUUGAGUGAUUUUGUAAUUUUAUAAUCAUUCCAAGAUUUUCUUUCUCUUAAAUUUUAUCCGUCGUUCCAUCAUUGUUCCGUCGAUAUCCUUUUCAUCCAUCGUCGAAACGUAUUCUUUAUCUUGGAACUGAUGUAAAAUUGCGAAUCACUGUGUUUCAUCGGUGUAGCAUCACUGGAGGAGGAUACGUAACAAGUGUACUGACUCGAUUUAAAAAGUCACGUUGCGUGUGCCACGUAGUUUCGAACAGUGUGCGUGACCAUUUUUCUACGCUCUUCUACUCUUCUCCCUUUGGUCGUUGCUUACGAGUCUAUCUUCUCCUCUCCCUUACGUAUACAUCACCGUUUCGCUCGUCUCCACCGAGAUAACGACAGAUGUUUAUGCAUAAUGCGUCGUCCCUCCUCGGUGACCAAGGUUCAAGUAAUUUCCGCGUUGUUAGAGUUGUCGCGGUUCCUCUGACCUCGCUCGUACUCCACGUUGCUUCGAGGCAACGCGUUAACACUUUUCAAUCUCACCACCAGACUAAUAAUCCACGAUUGUAUUUUUCCUUUCGAGAUGGUAAAAGCGUAACAGUUUUCAAUUCCAUCACAAGAUUAAUUCGAUUGUAUUUUCUUUUGAGAGAGUAAAAACGUAAUACUUUUCAA